This 697-nucleotide long non-coding RNA is filed under the name Sus scrofa (pig). RNAcentral's name for it is "lncRNA (ENSSSCG00070004660.1)". Lineage: Eukaryota; Metazoa; Chordata; Mammalia; Artiodactyla; Suidae. The record is from RNAcentral.
CCCCCACCCUUGACUCUCAGCCCAUGUCCAGUCAGGUGAGGUGCCCAGAGUACCUCCCGAGCAGCACCACCGCCUUGCUGACAGUGACUGUGUGUCCCCCUAGCAACCCUCGAUGAUGUUGUGGAGGCCGGCGGGAGUGAGAAGACGGAGGAAGAGGCCCUGGCUGGGGCAAAUGAGGAGGAGGUGGGGCCGGGAACUGAGAAGGUGCAGGAGGAGGCUGCCUGCAUUGACGAGGCAGAGGAGGAGGCAGGCCCAUCCCUUGAAAAUGACGAGGAGUCCCCAGCCAGCGACCUGGUUGAGCAGGAAGACCAGCUUGCCCCCAAGGUGGACGGGAUGGACGAUGAAAGCCUAUGUUUCAUGGAGAGUCUGAGUGACAGCAACCAUGAUGAAAGUGAUACAGACUCCUCUGGGACACCUUGAAGCCUCAGCCUGGGACUGGAAGAGUCCAAAAGUUUCCAUCUUGACCAGGAUACAAGAUUGACCUCACUCUUCAUCUAUUACGAGCCAACUUUAGUAUAAGCUUAGUUCUUUAUUGUCUAGAUUUAGUAUUAAGUUCUGAUACAUGUUUACUACUUGGUAUAUAAGAUUUUGGUAGAAUGUAAGAUUGUGUAUUAAAUAAUUGUUACCUAUCCAUUUGCUUUUUUUAAAACUAGUUUUCGAUAAAAUAAACACAGGUAUAGGAAAGCCCCCUUAAGCA